UACGAAGGGGGCUAGCGUUGCUCGGAAUCACUGGGCGUAAAGCGCACGUAGGCGGACUCUUAAGUCGGUGGUGAAAUCCUGGAGCUCAACUCCAGAACCGCCUUCGAUACUGGGAGUCUCGAGUUCGGGAGAGGUGAGUGGAACUGCGAGUGUAGAGGUGAAAUUCGUAGAUAUUCGCAAGAACACCAGUGGCGAAGGCGGCUCACUGGCCCGAUACUGACGCUGAGGUGCGAAAGCGUGGGGAGCAAACAGG
RNAcentral lists this ribosomal RNA (253 nucleotides) under uncultured bacterium. RNAcentral's name for it is "partial 16S ribosomal RNA". It matches the Rfam family "Bacterial small subunit ribosomal RNA", at positions 524 to 776 of the family's 1533-position model. The record is from RNAcentral.